UGUAAACAUGACGUUCCCGUGUGUGGAACAUCUGGUGUUUAAUGAAUCAAA
This is a non-coding RNA of Caenorhabditis elegans, 51 nucleotides long. NCBI's taxonomy places the organism in Eukaryota, Metazoa, Nematoda, Chromadorea, Rhabditida, Rhabditidae. The record is from Ensembl.